GACGAACGCUGGCGGCGUGCCUAAUACAUGCAAGUAGAACGCUGAAGUGAGGAGCUUGCUCUUCUUGGAUGAGUUGCGAACGGGUGAGUAACGCGUAGGUAACCUGCCUUGUAGCGGGGGAUAACUAUUGGAAACGAUAGCUAAUACCGCAUAACAAUGGAUGACACAUGUCAUUUAUUUGAAAGGGGCAAUUGCUCCACUACAAGAUGGACCUGCGUUGUAUUAGCUAGUAGGUGAGGUAAUGGCUCACCUAGGCGACGAUACAUAGCCGACCUGAGAGGGUGAUCGGCCACACUGGGACUGAGACACGGCCCAGACUCCUACGGGAGGCAGCAGUAGGGAAUCUUCGGCAAUGGGGGCAACCCUGACCGAGCAACGCCGCGUGAGUGAAGAAGGUUUUCGGAUCGUAAAGCUCUGUUGUAAGUCAAGAACGGGUGUGAGAGUGGAAAGUUCACACUGUGACGGUAGCUUACCAGAAAGGGACGGCUAACUACGUG
RNAcentral lists this ribosomal RNA (497 nucleotides) under uncultured bacterium. Its description in RNAcentral is "partial 16S ribosomal RNA". It matches the Rfam family "Bacterial small subunit ribosomal RNA", at positions 28 to 507 of the family's 1533-position model. The record is from RNAcentral.